CUCAUCUGGCAGCUUGUUCCAUACACCCUUUGUAUCAAAAGUUACCCCUCAGAUUCCUUUUAAAUCUUUCCCCCUUCAAUUCAAUUUCCCCUCAUUUCACCUGCCAACCAUUGUGUGCUUUGCUGUACCAUAACGGGGCUUGAAUGGAGUAGAUGGGAGGUGGAUUGGGCAGUGAGCAGGGGUAAGAGAGUAAAGGGAUUGUGAAGUAGGCAAGGAGGGAGUUCAGUUUAAUUUAUUGUCACGUGUACCGAGGUACAGUGAAAAGCUUUUGUUGCGUGCUAACCAGUCAGCAGAAAUACACACGAUUACAAUCGAGCCGUCUACAGCGUAUGGAUUCAUAAUGUUUAAUGCAAGGUAAAGCCAGCAAAGUCCGAUCAAGGAUAGUUUGAUGAGGUAGGUGGUAGUUCAGCGCUGCUCUCUGCAAGUGGGCCUAAGGAUAGGGGUGGAGAGAGAAGGGAAACUGAUGAUAACAUGCGAGCAAGGAUGUGCUGGUGAUGAAGCUGCAGCAUUGACGUACCUGGUGCGGUGUGAACGAA
Long non-coding RNA from Leucoraja erinaceus (little skate), 536 nucleotides. RefSeq lists it as uncharacterized. Lineage: Eukaryota; Metazoa; Chordata; Chondrichthyes; Rajiformes; Rajidae. The transcript is spliced from 2 exons. The record is from RefSeq and is a predicted model, not a curated record.